ACGUAGGGACCAAGCGUUGUUCGGAUUUACUGGGCGUAAAGGGCGCGUAGGCGGCAAAUUAAGUCAUCUGUGAAAUCUCCGAGCUUAACUCGGAACGGUCAGGUGAUACUGAUCUGCUAGAGUGCGGAAGGGGCAAUCGGAAUUCUUGGUGUAGCGGUGAAAUGCGUAGAUAUCAAGAGGAACACCUGAGGUGAAGACGGGUUGCUGGGCCGACACUGACGCUGACAGCGCGAAAGCCAGGGGAGCAAACGGGA
Molecule: ribosomal RNA, 254 nt
Filed under: uncultured prokaryote
Description: partial 16S ribosomal RNA
Rfam family: Bacterial small subunit ribosomal RNA
Source: RNAcentral